Molecule: long non-coding RNA, 1596 nt
Filed under: Panax ginseng (ginseng)
Lineage: Eukaryota; Viridiplantae; Streptophyta; Magnoliopsida; Apiales; Araliaceae
Description: long non-coding RNA (PGIN_LNC006191)
Source: RNAcentral
UAGUCGAAACCCUCAGGCAUCAGAUCUCCCAUCUCUCGACUCUUAUCUCAGAUCUCUCACUAUCUAUCUAUCUGAUCUCUCAUCUCUUAGUGCCCUAACCCAAAAUCCUAGUCCCCAAAUCGUGAGUCGUGACUCCGCUUCGCCUUUCUUUGCCCUAUAUUCGUCCGCAGGAAUCAGGAUAGUGGAAAUGGAGGCUUUUUAGAGAUUUAGAGAGAGAAGAUAAAAAUGGAGGUGUCGAGAUUACCAAUAUCAGCAUCACACAGAGGGAAGCUAAUAUAUGCAGGCUAUACUUCUAUUUAUUCCCUUUCCCCUCUCUCCAUCCGAUAUUGCUUGAGGUAAUAAUGAUACAUAUAUAUACACACACAUAAUUAUGUAUUAUACAACUCAUACUUUUUUUGUUUGUUUAAAUUGAAUAAUUGAUGCUUAUGAACUUAUAAAUGCUGUAUCUUAUUACUCUCACUGCAUGAAAUCUAUGGUUUUAUUUUAUUGAUUGAUUGAGUUUAGUUAUUCGCCUAUCAACUGUUGAUAUAAUUACGAUUUGAGUACUGCUGCAAGCUGACUUUAUAGCUACAAAUUCCUGAAUAGUUUCCUUAUAAAUUCAUUAGUUAGGACUCACUGGUUUGGCAUGAGCCUAAGAAGAUAUAUAGUUUAAAGAGUACGUAAUUCUAUCUAGAAGUUAGAAUCACUUGGAUUCACUAGUGUUUAUUGAGUAUGCUUCUUUCCUUUAUUUUUUGGUUUAAGCAGUGGCUUUAGCUAAUAUCCUAGAAAGGAUUUGAGUCCUUUUCUUUUAGUGGGUUCUGUAAAUGAGAGAUGUGAUCUUUAGGUUUGUUAAAAAAUUGGUGUGUCGUCCUCAUUCUGAGAGUGGGGUUUUGGGUUUGGCAAUUGAUUUUGAUUUUUUUUAUCAUUGGUAAGUGGUAAUUAUGUUGUCCUUUGGAUCCAUACUCUUAUGGGAUUAGGUGAUCAUAAUAAUACUUGGCCUCCAGGCUACAGCAAAAUAGUUAAUAUGCCAUCCUACUUCAUAAUUGAUUAAUUCUAGAAGUUCCUUUGGCAGGGUUACUCUUCCUUUCCCUUUUUUUCUAUAGUAAAGUAGCCAGGGGAUGGUAGGCAAAUUCAUUUUUAGCAGGAUAUCUGGGUUCGUAAUGUUUCCUUGUGUGUUUUUUUUGGGUUUAAUCUAUAUUCAUUCCCUAGACAACCCACCUACUUCUAGUUUCUAAAGUAGUGAAAGGAAUUUGCUUUAGUUUUGCAAUUUGUUUAUCUUGUUUUUGCCUACAUACAAAUAUGCACAUCGUAUACGAAUCUGUUUAUUCUAUUUACAAACAUGAGUAUGCCAAUCUGUAUAAGUACACGCGUAUUGUUAUGCCAAUCAAGUUAUUUUACCACAACCCUUGUUCGUUUAAGUCAGAUAUUUGAACUUAAGAAAAUUUGGAUAUAUAUGAAAGUGGAAAAUGGUAAAAGAUUACAUAGAGAAUAAUAAGGUUUGUAUCGUAACUGCUACAUAAUCAUAAUUACUCUGAUACAGGUUGCUGUUCUGCGCCAAUCUUUCACUUUGAUAUUUGAAUACCCUCUAGUUACCAGCAUGAUCACAAUUUUAUUGAU